AUACUUACCUGGCAGGGGAGAUACCAUGAUCACAAAGGUGGCUUUCUCAGGGUGAGGCUUAUCCAUUGCACUCCGUAUAUGCUGACCCAUGUGAUUUCCCAAAACGUGGGAAACUUGACUGCAUAAUUUGUGGUAGUGGGGGACUGCAUUCGUGCUUUCCCCUG
Molecule: small nuclear RNA, 164 nt
Organism: Onychomys torridus (southern grasshopper mouse)
Lineage: Eukaryota; Metazoa; Chordata; Mammalia; Rodentia; Cricetidae
Product: U1 spliceosomal RNA
Exons: 1
Source: RefSeq, a predicted model, not a curated record